RNAcentral lists this ribosomal RNA (637 nucleotides) under uncultured bacterium. RNAcentral describes it as "bacterial SSU rRNA". It matches the Rfam family "Bacterial small subunit ribosomal RNA", at positions 607 to 1244 of the family's 1533-position model. The record is from RNAcentral.
GCUCAACCGGGGAGGGUCAUUGGAAACUGGGGAACUUGAGUGCAGAAGAGGAGAGUGGAAUUCCACGUGUAGCGGUGAAAUGCGUAGAGAUGUGGAGGAACACCAGUGGCGAAGGCGACUCUCUGGUCUGUAACUGACGCUGAGGCGUGAAAGCGUGGGGAGCGAACAGGAUUAGAUACCCUGGUAGUCCACGCCGUAAACGAUGAGUGCUAAGUGUUAGAGGGUUUCCGCCCUUUAGUGCUGCAGCAAACGCAUUAAGCACUCCGCCUGGGGAGUACGGUCGCAAGACUGAAACUCAAAGGAAUUGACGGGGGCCCGCACAAGCGGUGGAGCAUGUGGUUUAAUUCGAAGCAACGCGAAGAACCUUACCAGGUCUUGACAUCCUCUGACAACCCUAGAGAUAGGGCUUCCCCUUCGGGGGCAGAGUGACAGGUGGUGCAUGGUUGUCGUCAGCUCGUGUCGAGAGAUGUUGGGUUAAGUCCCGCAACGAGCGCAACCCUUGAUCUUAGUUGCCAGCAUUCAGUUGGGCACUCUAAGGUGACUGUCGGUGACAAACCGGAGGAAGGUGGGGAUGACGUCAAAUCAUCAUGCCCCUUAUGACCUGGGCUACACACGUGCUACAAUGGGCAGAACAAAG